GCCUCCGUAGCUCAAUUUGGCAGAGCAGCGGACUCUUAAUCCGUUGGUUGGAGGUUCGAGUCCUCCCGGAGGUA
RNAcentral lists this transfer RNA (74 nucleotides) under Chloroflexota bacterium. Its description in RNAcentral is "Chloroflexi bacterium tRNA-Lys". It matches the Rfam family "tRNA". Rfam says of the family: Transfer RNA (tRNA) molecules are approximately 80 nucleotides in length. Their secondary structure includes four short double-helical elements and three loops (D, anti-codon, and T loops). RNAcentral also lists the same sequence under 2 other names. Lineage: Bacteria; Bacillati; Chloroflexota. The record is from RNAcentral.